GUCUAUAUAGAUUAAAAAAAUCGUGAUGCUGUUAACCUCAAGAUGAAAUUGUUCUAUAGUCG
This 62-nucleotide transfer RNA is filed under the name Didymobothrium rudolphii. Its description in RNAcentral is "tRNA-Asn". Lineage: Eukaryota; Metazoa; Platyhelminthes; Cestoda; Spathebothriidea; Acrobothriidae. The record is from RNAcentral.